AGUUUCAAUAAAAGAGCAUAAUUUUUCGUGAAACAAAUGUUCGAUAGAAAAAAAGAAAAAACAUUUUGCUUCUUCUUCUAUAGAUUCUUCCCUCCCCCCUCCCCCACUAAUAUAACUUUAUUUCCAGAGAAUUUUUGUGAUCGCGCGCAAUGCGAUCGGUAAAUUCAGUGUUUGCUUCGUUAUAGUUUUCUAAUUUAUAUUUAGAGCACAAUAGCUCUAAUUAAAUUACUAUAAUUAUUCGCGAAAUUAGAGUCAGUGUUUGUUCGCCGCCUUUAUUUGAAAUCGACGCGUUAGUAGUUUUUUAUUUUUAUUUUUUUUAUACUUUUGAACAUUCGUUUUUCGGUACAGGGUAAAAUCAGUGUUCCUUGAGGAAUAGGGCGGUCAUCCAUCACGCGAAGAGAUGCCAGAAGAUCUUCAUUUCUCAUGGACUUUAGUUUAAAACAAUAUUUGUGAUCGCGCGCAAUGCGAUCGGUAAAUUCAGUGUUUGCUUCGUUAUAGUUUUCUAAUUUAUAUUUAGAGCACAAUAGCUCUAAUUAAAUUACUAUAAUUAUUCGCGAAAUUAGAGUCAGUGUUUGUUCGCCGCCUUUAUUUGAAAUCGACGCGUUAGUAGUUCUUUAUUUUUAUUUUUUUAUACUUUUGAACAUUCGUUUUUCGGUACAGGGUAAAAUCAGUGUUCCUUGAGGAAUCGGGCGGUCAUCCAUCACGCGAAGAGUGUUUCAUGUUUGAUUACAGUUGACAUCUUUGGCCACGACAAUGCAGAUUCUUCGCAUCUGUUGGUGAGUCGCAUGCAUUUAUGUUCCUCCGGUCACUCAAUCAUGUUGUAGGAUAAAAGGUCCGAAUCGACACGAGUGACUGGUUGUAUACGUAGAUUUUUGCACGAGCACAAUGACCGCAGGUAUUAAUUAUACCUGUGAAUAGUAACAUUUCUUUUUCUUGUAUUUUAUUUGUUAGAUCAGGAUAGAUCUUCUUGCACGUUGCGUUUUUAAAAUGAUAUUGAUAGUUAAUUUUAUAU
Molecule: long non-coding RNA, 1012 nt
Organism: Apis florea (little honeybee)
Lineage: Eukaryota; Metazoa; Arthropoda; Insecta; Hymenoptera; Apidae
Source: RefSeq, a predicted model, not a curated record